UCUGCCAUCGCUAAGUCGAUGGUCAGACAAAAGCAAUGGUUAAUGGUGAAAGUCUUCCCUUCAUAUCAUGAAAUAAAAUUAGAGCCUUUUGCUUAAGAAGGUUUUAGAACUUAUGUGGCAUACUUUCAAAGUGUAGCAAGAACUCCCAUCUUUGUUAAGGGAAAGCAUCAUUCGACGAACAACUGCCAUUUUAAAAGACGACGCUGAAGACCCUACUUAGGAGGAAAAUCGACGGCAAUGAUUAAACUGUUCAGUCCUUCCGUCUUUGAAAACUGCCGGUGCCAUUUUGAAUGUGGGCAGAUGUGCCCGCGGCCAUUUUGAGACGCGUUGACUUCGGAUGACCGCCAUCUUGAAAGAGGGCAGCCGGUUGUAAUUAAAUAAAAGUCAAAGAAGUCGGUUUUUGAGGAUCUUCUUGUGUAGUCCUCGAAAGGGUAAUUUUUGUUGUGGUCUAAGAAAUCAAUCGACAUAUUGGAGAAGGGCGCAUAUCGCCGGUCUGGAAGCUAGCAGUCCCAGGAACCAUAAAGUGGUAUCCUGAACCGCCAUUUCAACAAAGGGCAGAGGGAUCUAUUGCUAUGGCAACCGAGCAUUCAGGGGAGCCAUAUUGAUUUCACCUUCAAUUUGCCUUAAAAGCGCUGCUAAAAGCCUUCUCCGUGGUAUCUGUCACUAAACUGCAUGUCUUUUUCAUAAACCCAGACGAUCUGAUUAUUGUCUGUAAACUUUUGCAUUAUACCACUAUCUUAUCAUCGUGGUGCUACAGAGAUUCAUACUCCUCUUUAAACGAAUUCAGUAUCUGGUUAAAAACAUAGGCAUGCAAAAACAUUCACAGCAGAAUGAGGUUCCAGAUAAUAAGAUUAUAAGAAGUCCAUCCACAGAACUUCAGCAAGGAGAUAAAGAAGAAAUUUUACUUGCAAGAAGAAGAAUUUGAGGUACUCUUCUCUGGUGCAACGUACGGGUGCACCAGUCACACCAGGGAUCAUGGUGCCUACCUGCCAGAUUUAGUCAGCAGGCAGAUUUGAGCUGUACACCUAAACCCCUAGAAAAGGCCUCAGAAGAGAAGACAUCCAGACUCAGCCUGGAACAAUGAGGAAGAAGAGGCAGUUGAUGGAGAGGAAGGAUGAUUAGAAAAGUGAGAAAAAUAUACUGGAUGAGUGAAAGAAGGAGGGAAAAAUGACUGGUUGGAAAGCUAGAGGAGCAU
Pogona vitticeps (central bearded dragon) is the source of this 1195-nucleotide non-coding RNA. NCBI's taxonomy places the organism in Eukaryota, Metazoa, Chordata, Lepidosauria, Squamata, Agamidae. The record is from RefSeq and is a predicted model, not a curated record.